This 465-nucleotide ribosomal RNA is filed under the name uncultured Klebsiella sp. RNAcentral's name for it is "bacterial SSU rRNA". It matches the Rfam family "Bacterial small subunit ribosomal RNA", at positions 338 to 795 of the family's 1533-position model. The record is from RNAcentral. Lineage: Bacteria; Pseudomonadati; Pseudomonadota; Gammaproteobacteria; Enterobacterales; Enterobacteriaceae.
ACUACGGGGGGCUGCAGUGGGGAAUAUUGCACAAUGGGCGCAAGCCUGAUGCAGCCAUGCCGCGUGUGUGAAGAAGGCCUUCGGGUUGUAAAGCACUUUCAGCGGGGAGGAAGGCGGUGAGGUUAAUAACCUCAUCGAUUGACGUUACCCGCAGAAGAAGCACCGGCUAACUCCGUGCCAGCAGCCGCGGUAAUACGGAGGGUGCAAGCGUUAAUCGGAAUUACUGGGCGUAAAGCGCACGCAGGCGGUCUGUCAAGUCGGAUGUGAAAUCCCCGGGCUCAACCUGGGAACUGCAUUCGAAACUGGCAGGCUAGAGUCUUGUAGAGGGGGGUAGAAUUCCAGGUGUAGCGGUGAAAUGCGUAGAGAUCUGGAGGAAUACCGGUGGCGAAGGCGGCCCCUUGGACAAAGACUGACGCUCAGGUGCGAAAGCGUGGGGAGCAAACAGGAUUAGAUACCCGUGUAGUC